CACUAGCUGAGUAAAACAAACAAACAAAAACUCUGUGUUUGGCAUAAAGCCUUGAACUUUGAAUCAGAUAGUCUCCAUUUCAGACAUAGCUCCGGCAUUUUUUAUUGGUGCAGAGUCAAGUCAUUGAAUCUCUUUGGCAUCCAUUUGCUCAUCUGAAGCAGAGGUCCAUACUGAAGAAUUGAAGGAGAUGGAACUCGUUGUAUCCCGCAAGGGUUGCUGCCCAACCUUCCUUUUCUCUUCCAACGUGGUACUCCAUAACUCUGGACGAUCUUCACCUUGGUCAACAGGGAUAAGAAAAACUGUGGGAUAAAUAGCUAUCGAAUUGGAAAGUCAAAAUAGAAGCCAUUUCAUAGUUGGACUUGGAAAACCUGAAUGUUGAAGAUCUUGAGCACUGCCCCGGAGGAGCUGAUCUCGGCGGUGCUCGGCAUCGGCUCCAGGACCUUCCUCCACCGGAUAUCAGGAACAGGACUUAAAACAGGAGAUGGAAGAGCUAAGGGUCCACAAUGCUUAGGGAGCCAUCUUUUGUUUAUGUUUAUAGCUAAACAUUUACAUCAUUGAUUUCCAAAAGCAGCACAAAAAUUAAUGCAUUUUUAUAUACCUGAAUGAAACAUGUUACUUACUUGCCAAGAGCAAAACAC
Molecule: long non-coding RNA, 638 nt
Organism: Pteronotus mesoamericanus
Lineage: Eukaryota; Metazoa; Chordata; Mammalia; Chiroptera; Mormoopidae
Exons: 5
Source: RefSeq, a predicted model, not a curated record